Molecule: ribosomal RNA, 253 nt
Filed under: uncultured bacterium
Lineage: Bacteria
Description: partial 16S ribosomal RNA
Rfam family: Bacterial small subunit ribosomal RNA
Source: RNAcentral
UACAGAGGUCCCGAGCGUUGUUCGGAUUCAUUGGGCGUAAAGGGUGCGUAGGCGGUCUUCUAAGUUUGAUGUGAAAUUCCGGGGCUCAACCCUGGCAUGGCAUUGAAUACUGGAGGACUAGAGUACCGGAGAGGAAACUGGAAUUUACGGUGUAGCAGUGAAAUGCGUAGAGAUCGUAAGGAAGACCAGUGGCGAAGGCGGGUCUCUGGACAGUUCCUGACGCUGAGGCACGAAGGUCAGGGGAGCAAACGGG